This 253-nucleotide ribosomal RNA is filed under the name uncultured bacterium. RNAcentral's name for it is "partial 16S ribosomal RNA". It matches the Rfam family "Bacterial small subunit ribosomal RNA", at positions 524 to 776 of the family's 1533-position model. RNAcentral also lists the same sequence under 1 other name. The record is from RNAcentral.
GACGAGGGAUCCUAGCGUUGUUCGGAAUCAUUGGGCGUAAAGCGGGUGUAGGUGGAUCUAUAAGUCAGGUGUGAAAUCCCAGGGCUCAACCCUGGAAGUGCACUUGAUACUGUAGAUCUUGAGUGUGGUAGAGGUUACUGGAAUUCUUGGUGUAGUGGUGAAAUACGUAGAUAUCAAGAGGAAUACCGGAGGCGAAGGCGGGUAACUGGGCCAACACUGACACUGAGACCCGAAAGCGUGGGGAUCAAACAGG